UAGGGAGCAGUGGGGAAUAUUGCACAAUGGGCGCAAGCCUGAUGCAGCCAUGCCGCGUGUAUGAAGAAGGCCUUCGGGUUGUAAAGUACUUUCAGUCGUGAGGAAGGUGUUAAGGUUAAUAACCUUAGCAAUUGACGUUAGCGACAGAAGAAGCACCGGCUAACUCCGUGCCAGCAGCCGCGGUAAUACGGAGGGUGCGAGCGUUAAUCGGAAUUACUGGGCGUAAAGGGCACGCAGGCGGUUAAUUAAGUUGGAUGUGAAAUCCCCGGGCUUAACCUGGGAAUGGCAUUCAAGACUGGUUAGCUAGAGUCUUGUAGAGGGGGUAGAAUUCCAUGUGUAGCGGUGAAAUGCGUAGAGAUGUGGAGGAAUACCGGUGGCGAAAGGCGGCCCCUGGACAAAGACUGACGCUCAUGUGCGAAAGCGUGGGGAGCAAAACAGGGAUUAGAUACC
Molecule: ribosomal RNA, 450 nt
Filed under: uncultured bacterium
Lineage: Bacteria
Description: bacterial SSU rRNA
Rfam family: Bacterial small subunit ribosomal RNA
Source: RNAcentral